GUAGGGGGCAAGCGUUGUCCGGAUUUACUGGGCGUAAAGCGCGUGUAGGCGGCCACGCAGGUCCGUUGUGAAAACUGGAGGCUCAACUUCCAGACGUCGACGGAAACCGUGUGGCUAGAGUCCGGAAGAGGAGAGUGGAAUUCCUGGUGUAGCGGUGAAAUGCGCAGAUAUCAGGAAGAACACCAAUGGCGAAGGCAGCUCUCUGGGACGGUACUGACGCUGAGACGCGAAAGCGUGGGGAGCGAACAGGAUUAGAUACCCUGGUAGUCCACGCCGUAAACGAUGGGUGCUAGGUGUGGGAGGUGUCGACUCCUUCCGUGCCGUAGCUAACGCAUUAAGCACCCCGCCUGGGGAGUACGGCCGCAAGGCUAAA
Molecule: ribosomal RNA, 373 nt
Filed under: uncultured bacterium
Lineage: Bacteria
Description: bacterial SSU rRNA
Rfam family: Bacterial small subunit ribosomal RNA
Source: RNAcentral